Molecule: ribosomal RNA, 389 nt
Filed under: uncultured bacterium
Lineage: Bacteria
Description: bacterial SSU rRNA
Rfam family: Bacterial small subunit ribosomal RNA
Source: RNAcentral
AUUGAACGCUGGCGGCAUGCCUUACACAUGCAAGUCGAACGGCAGCGGACCUUCGGGUGCCGGCGAGUGGCGAACGGGUGAGUAAUAUAUCGGAACGUACCUUUCAGUGGGGGAUAACGUAGCGAAAGUUACGCUAAUACCGCAUAUUCUGUGAGCAGGAAAGCAGGGGGAUCGCAAGACCUUUCGCUGAUUGAGCGGCCGAUAUCAGAUUAGCUAGUUGGUGAGGUAAAGGCUCACCAAGGCGACGAUCUGUAGCGGGUCUGAGAGGAUGAUCCGCCACACUGGAACUGAGACACGGUCCAGACUCCUACGGGAGGCAGCAGUGGGGAAUUUUGGACAAUGGGCGCAAGCCUGAUCCAGCCAUGCCGCGUGAGUGAAGAAGGCCUCGG